UGGGAUAAUGAUAAAUGUGCAAAACUGAAAAAGGGCUUAGAAUUUGGAUUAUUAGAAAAAGCCGAAAAGAUUGGGAAUUUGGAAUACAACUUGCAAGACACAGAUACUGAAAAGGCAUAUUGAUAUAGUUAGUGGAGAAAAAACUAAAAAAGGCAUGGCCCGCAGCUGACUUACUGUUUAGCAUAUAUAAUAUACAUGAAACUUCACUUUAGACCCUCGUUUUUUUUUCUAAUAUGCCCUCUAACUUCCUUAAAAUUUC
RNAcentral lists this long non-coding RNA (259 nucleotides) under Panax ginseng (ginseng). RNAcentral describes it as "long non-coding RNA (PGIN_LNC004672)". The record is from RNAcentral. Lineage: Eukaryota; Viridiplantae; Streptophyta; Magnoliopsida; Apiales; Araliaceae.